UGGGGGAUAUUGCACAAUGGGCGAAAGCCUGAUGCAGCGACGCCGCGUGGGGGAUGAAGGCCUUCGGGUUGUAAACUUCUUUUGCUCUGAACAAGGCAUGCUAAUGGGUGUGUUGAGUGUAGGGGUUGAUUAGCGCCGGCUAACUACGUGCCAGCAGCCGCGGUGAUACGUAGGGCGCGAGCGUUGUCCGGAAUUAUUGGGCGUAAAGGGCUUGUAGGUGGCUGGUUGCGUCUGUCGUGAAAGCUCAUGGCUUAACGGUGGGUUUGCGGCGUGUACGGGCUGGCUUGAGUGCAGUAGGGGAGGCUGGAAUUCCUGGUGUAGCGGUGGAAUGCGCAGAUAUCAGGAGGAAUACCGGUGGCGAAGGCGGGUCUCUGGGCUGUUACUGACACUGAGGAGCGAAAGCAUGGGGAGCGAACAGG
This 419-nucleotide ribosomal RNA is filed under the name bacterium. RNAcentral describes it as "partial 16S ribosomal RNA". It matches the Rfam family "Bacterial small subunit ribosomal RNA", at positions 355 to 776 of the family's 1533-position model. The record is from RNAcentral.